Micropterus dolomieu (smallmouth bass) is the source of this 313-nucleotide long non-coding RNA. RefSeq lists it as uncharacterized. NCBI's taxonomy places the organism in Eukaryota, Metazoa, Chordata, Actinopteri, Centrarchiformes, Centrarchidae. The transcript is spliced from 3 exons. The record is from RefSeq and is a predicted model, not a curated record.
CCAGGCAACUCGGAACUUUCAGACCUCCAACCAGAAAAAGGACCAUGAACGCCACGUGAAGUUUGAGCUCCUAAUUAAAUCUGUCCCCCGACUUCACGAGGAGCAGCUGAAUGAUGGCAGCACACAAUGGAAAUGGUCACCGAGCAUGUCACGUGACUGAAAAGAUGACACCUUUGCACAGUCUCACCCCCCCCCUCUUCCUAAAGAUGCCCUGUCUGAAACAAUGGGAACAGAAGUCUUUGACUUUGCCCAGGCAGCACAAAAAUGGCUUCCUAUGCUCCAGACCGGAUGGAUGGACAGAGCAGAGCAGGAG